This 484-nucleotide ribosomal RNA is filed under the name uncultured bacterium. Its description in RNAcentral is "partial 16S ribosomal RNA". It matches the Rfam family "Bacterial small subunit ribosomal RNA", at positions 30 to 507 of the family's 1533-position model. The record is from RNAcentral.
AUUGAACGCUGGCGGCAGGCCUAACACAUGCAAGUCGAGCGGAUGAAGGGAGCUUGCUCCUGGAUUCAGCGGCGGACGGGUGAGUAAUGCCUAGGAAUCUGCCUGGUAGUGGGGGAUAACGUCCGGAAACGGGCGCUAAUACCGCAUACGUCCUGAGGGAGAAAGUGGGGGAUCUUCGGACCUCACGCUAUCAGAUGAGCCUAGGUCGGAUUAGCUAGUUGGUGGGGUAAAGGCCUACCAAGGCGACGAUCCGUAACUGGUCUGAGAGGAUGAUCAGUCACACUGGAACUGAGACACGGUCCAGACUCCUACGGGAGGCAGCAGUGGGGAAUAUUGGACAAUGGGCGGAAGCCUGAUCCAGCCAUGCCGCGUGUGUGAAGAAGGUCUUCGGAUUGUAAAGCACUUUAAGUUGGGAGGAAGGGCAAUAAGUUAAUACCUUGCUGUUUUGACGUUACCAACAGAAUAAGCACCGGCUAACUUCGUG